AGUAGAGCGGCGCACGGGUGAGUAACGCGUGGGUAACCUACCUUCGGGCGGGGGAUAACCACUCGAAAGGGUGGCUAAUACCGCAUGAGACCACGGGGUCCUCGGGCCCCGGGGCCAAAGGCGGCACCGGCUUGCCGGUGCUGUCACCUGAAGAUGGGCCCGCGUACGAUUAGCUAGUUGGUAGGGUAACGGCCUACCAAGGCUGCGAUCGUUAGCUGGUCUGAGAGGAUGGCCAGCCACACUGGAACUGGAACACGGUCCAGACUCCUACGGGAGGCAGCAGUGAGGAAUAUUGCGCAAUGGGGGAAACCCUGACGCAGCAACGCCGCGUGGGUGAAGAAGGCCUUCGGGUCGUAAAGCCCUUUCGGACGGGACGAACGCUCCGCGGGGAUAAUCCGCGGAGUCUGACGGUACGUANGAAGAAACACCGGCUAACUCCGUGCCAGCAGCCGCGGUAAUACGGAGGGUGCAAGCGU
This 476-nucleotide ribosomal RNA is filed under the name uncultured delta proteobacterium. Its description in RNAcentral is "bacterial SSU rRNA". It matches the Rfam family "Bacterial small subunit ribosomal RNA", at positions 89 to 541 of the family's 1533-position model. Lineage: Bacteria; Deltaproteobacteria. The record is from RNAcentral.